RNAcentral lists this transfer RNA (71 nucleotides) under Lepidosiren paradoxa (South American lungfish). Its description in RNAcentral is "tRNA-Gly". The record is from RNAcentral. Lineage: Eukaryota; Metazoa; Chordata; Ceratodontiformes; Lepidosirenidae.
UACCUUUUUAAUACAACUAGUAUAAGUGACUUCCAAUCACUAAAUCCUGAAUAAUACCCAGGAAUAGGUAA